This 326-nucleotide ribosomal RNA is filed under the name uncultured bacterium. RNAcentral's name for it is "bacterial SSU rRNA". It matches the Rfam family "Bacterial small subunit ribosomal RNA", at positions 29 to 339 of the family's 1533-position model. The record is from RNAcentral.
AAUGAACGCUGGCGGCGUGCUUAACACAUGCAAGUCGUGCGCGAAGGUGGCUUCGGCCACCGGAGAGCGGCGGACGGGUGAGUAACACGUGGGUAAUCUGCCGUGGGAGCGGGGGAUAACCGUGGGGAAACUCGGGCUAAUACCGCAUACGUUUGCGAGAUCAUGGUCUCGUCAAGAAAGCUGGCCUCUGCUUGCAAGCUAGCACUCCCAGAGGAGCCCGCGGCUGAUUAGCUAGUUGGUGAGGUAAUGGCUCACCAAGGCGACGAUCAGUAGCCGGCCUGAGAGGGUGAUCGGCCACACUGGGACUGAGACACGGCCCAGACUCC